CAGUGCCUUAGUUAUUUCACAUGUGUACACACAACAAAUGUCACUUUUUGAUUUUGGUUCAGAAAUAUGAGUAAAAUUUUGUUUUAUCUACACAUACCUUCAGUUGGUUUUUGUACGAAUUGAAAAUGGACUCUUCCCCGUAGUCCAAAAUCUCUUCCAAGACGGCAUUUUUUGAGAUUGUUUUCCAUGGCUUGUCUAUGAAUAUUUCUUUUCCUAAGACACAGGACAGUUGCUUCUGGAUGUGGGACGGAAUUUUUGGUAAAGUGACUUACGCAAUGUUUCAAACGUCUUCUCUAUAUCACAUGGCUCGCCAGAGAAGCGUUUAUAUUUGAAGAUGUCCAUAUCUCCUCUUCACUUAUUAGGCAAGCUAUCUACUGGACAGGCGGAACUUUUUAUGAACUUGAAAGAGUGAUAAUUUUCAAAAUAACAAAUUGAUAAAACAAUGUUAACUAUUGGUUUGAACAAGCAGAUGAUAAAAAAUAUAUUUUCUAAAAAUCUGUUUAAA
Molecule: long non-coding RNA, 505 nt
Organism: Cimex lectularius (bed bug)
Lineage: Eukaryota; Metazoa; Arthropoda; Insecta; Hemiptera; Cimicidae
Exons: 2
Source: RefSeq, a predicted model, not a curated record